GCAAGUAUUAGUUUAACCAAACAUUAGAUUGUGAUUCUAGAAAUAGAAGUUCAAACCUUCUUACCUGCC
RNAcentral lists this transfer RNA (69 nucleotides) under Cygnus cygnus (common whooper). Its description in RNAcentral is "tRNA-His". It matches the Rfam family "tRNA". Rfam says of the family: Transfer RNA (tRNA) molecules are approximately 80 nucleotides in length. Their secondary structure includes four short double-helical elements and three loops (D, anti-codon, and T loops). Further hydrogen bonds mediate the characteristic L-shaped molecular structure. tRNAs have two regions of fundamental functional importance: the anti-codon, which is responsible for specific mRNA codon recognition, and the 3' end, to which the tRNAs corresponding amino acid is attached (by aminoacyl-tRNA synthetases). tRNAs cope with the degeneracy of the genetic code in two manners: having more than one tRNA (with a specific anti-codon) for a particular amino acid; and 'wobble' base-pairing, i.e. permitting non-standard base-pairing at the 3rd anti-codon position. Lineage: Eukaryota; Metazoa; Chordata; Aves; Anseriformes; Anatidae. The record is from RNAcentral.